UGACACCUUUGUGAUGUCAGCAGCCUCAGGAGACUGCCUGGCUGAGGGAGGGAGAGUCCUGCCUCUCCUUCUGGGUGGUGUGGGGGUGUUGUGUGUGUCUCGGCAAGGAAGCUGAAUAGAAAAACAACUUUCCUAAGCUCAAAGAAUGAAUGGCAAAGCCAGCAACCGUUGACUCGUCGAUGCCUGAGGCUGACUCUCAACCUGAGCCCUUCUCCACAAGACCCCAAGUGUCCAAGUAUCAGAGGCAGGCUCACUAACCUAUCGUGGGGCUCAAAUAGCCCCUGCUUCAUGGAUCACGCUGUCUACCUUCCUGGAGAGCUUGCUUCGGAUAAAUGUCUCUCCACUUCCCAAACUAGGAAGGAUGGAAAGGUAUUUACACUUUCAGUAACCUGCGUAUGGAUCCCACUGCUAUUUAAUUAAGACUUAAACCUAUAAAGAUGCACAUUUAAUACUCAGAGUAAACCCUUGACUUGUUUCCUUUGAAGAUAAACAGAGAGCGAGAGUGAGUGAGGGAGGGGCAAAGGGAGAGGAAGAGAGAAUCUCAAGCAGGAUCCACACCCAGUGCAAAGCCUGAUGCAGGGCUCAAUCCCAGGACCCCAGGAUCACGACUUGAGCCGAAAUCGAGAGUGGGAUGCUCAACCGACUGAACCACCCAGACAAGAAGAGAGAUCUCUUAUUUCUCAUCGGAGGGAGAUACAAAAGAAGGUUGCUGGCAGAUAGAGAGCCAAUUCUUAAUCACUGAGAGAGAGGCUAGCUGAAGACCUAACAUCCUAAGGAAGGCUCUCCAGAUACAGGCACUCUGCCUCCUGCCUUCUAGGUUAGAGGAAAAAAAGAUCCUUCGGCUGCUAAGGUGAAGAUAGCAUUUAGGAUGCAGAAAUGGGACUUGGAAGUACUCCUGAUUCCUUUUAGGGAAGAAAAGGUCCAUCUCGGCUUACCUCAUUGCUAAGAAGAAAAAUAAGCAUUUGUUCAGCAAUAAUAAUGUGUGAGGUGCCUGAAAGAGCCCUGAAUCAGGCUAAAUAAUUUCUUCCUUCCUUUAGAAAAUAAAAAACAGCUUGCCCGAUUUCUCUUCCAAUUUAUUCUUGUGGCUUUCCAUUCCUUUGGAAAUCCGGAGGAUGCCUAUUUUAUGAGCUUUUGUGGACCAGCCCUUCAAUACUCAGGGAGGGUGUCCUUGUGUGCAUUAAGCUGGGUCUUUAAGAUUAAUGCAAUAUGCAGGAACAUGUGAUCAAUGAUAUGGCAUUAGCAACUUUUACUUUGGCAAGUGGCUGCAUGUUGAAGGCAUCUGGAAAAAUUGUAAAUCACAGCAUGACCAGAGCAUCAGCCACAGACAUCAAGACAGGGGAAUGGUCAAGUGAGAAGGAUGGACCUAGAGCCUCCUGGGUUGUCCACACAGGUAUUGCUAGAGACAGAGAAGGAUGUAAGGAUGUCCCAGCAUAGAGGGGCUAGAGGACACAAAUCUGUUGGUACCCAUAAAGGGAAUCAAUAUGGAGAAGAGUCUCCAUACACAGGUAGAAGGGUAGAUUAGACAAUCUCCAAGGUUCUGUCCAACUCAAAUUUUGAUUCCAUGACUCUCUAAAUAAGGACUUAAUGAGUUUUUUCAAUAGGCUCUAAUAUCUCAUAGACCAAUGGAGUCCUUAGCUACACACACACACACACACACACACACAUAUAAAUUAUAUACAAUGUAACUAUAUAAUAUACUAAAAUAUAUUAAAAAUAUAAAUAUAUUAUGUUUGAUUCAUAUAUAAAAUGUAUAUAUUAUGUAAUUAUUAAAGCUCAGAAAGAUAUAUAUUUAUAUAUAAUAUAUAAAUAUAUAUAAUAUCACUAUAUAACAUACAAAUAUACAUAUAAAGUAUAUAAACAUAUAAUUAAAUAGUAUAUAAUUAUAUAAACAUAAUUAUAUAAUAUAUAUAAUUUUCAUGAGCUUUAAUACUUUACAUUUGUGUAGUACUUUACAGUUUGUGGGGAUUUAAUCUCACAGACUCUAUUGGUUAUCUGUUGCCACAAUGAUGCCACAUAACAAAGAGCUCUGCAAUGUCAGUGCCAUACGACAACAAGUGUUUAUUGCUCACAUGUCUGUAGCUUUGCGGUCUUGUCUAGGCUUGCUCACAUAGCUGGACAUUGGGUGGCUGUCGGUUGAUCUAGGAUGGCCUCAAGCUGAGGUGACUUGGGUGUCUCCUAGCUUUCAACAAGCUAACCCAGACAUGUCCUCCUGUGGCAGAGAGGGUGAUAGAAGAGGCAAAAGAGAGCAAGCGGAAACUUGCAAGGCCUCAUUUAUUCCUAUACUGGCCAGAGGAAGUCACAGGGCUGAACUCGGUGUCAAGGUGUGGGGGACUGUGCUCCAUUCUUUUUGUUAGAGCGGCUGCAGAAUCACCUAGGAAAGGCUGUAGAUAUAGGUGAAGUAGCAAUCUACCACACAGAUGUGGCCUUGCUUAAUCCUGUCGGUGUCAUCCUUUACCCUGGUAUUAUUCCUGCUUUUACAGAUUAAAACAUGGACACCAAAGAGGUCAGCAACUUAUACGAGGCCACAUGGAUCAUAGGAACUGGAAUAUUGGCUUUCCUGCUAUAAAAUCAAGGCACUUUCUGUUGUUCUACACCAUGCUUAAUUAAAAGCAUGAAUCCCAGGAGUGUUGUCAGGGACUUCCUAGAGGUAGACUGGUAAAGUGUGAGGCCCUCAAUGUUGCGUGAGUUGCAGAAUACACAAACUUUUACUUAUCUGUUCUAAUCCUUCUAUGUAAAAUAUGAUGCUUUAACAAAAUAAUAUAUGGACCCAAGGAAUUUACUAGUCAUCUAAACAUUAGUUUCUUUGUAACCAGAUAGUUACUUCCUGUAUUUGUCAGAGUAGGCUAAAUGCUGUGACUAAGUACCCCUAAAUCUUAGUGAUGUAGGAAAAAGUUUAUUUCUUGCUCAUAUUGGCCAGAACUCUGGCACAUGGCCACAUCUAAUAAUAAAGAAGACUGGUAAAUAUAAUAUAACUGUAUGGAGAAAAGAGGAUAUUGAUAAAUACUUAGCAAGACUCAAAGGAAUGGACCAUAGUAUAGGUAAGUUUUGCAGGGAGACUAGGAGGUAUGUGGUAGGUGAUGGAAGACGUAACAAAGGAAGAUGGGACAGAAAAGCCCAUAGCUUGAGACUCUAUCCAAGGAAAUGUGUAGACCAUUGGAUCUAAGACAUUUUGCACAAAUAUACUCUCUUGUCAGUAGGUGGGAUGACAAUUAGGAAUUUAAGAAUUUAAAUCUGAUUAUGUCACUCCUCUGCUUAAAAGCCUUCAAUGUUUACCCUAAGAAUAGACGGUUGAUGUGUGUUACACAGUCUUCCAAAAUGUAUCCUCUGUCUCUCCAGCCUUAUCUGCUAUACCUUCCCAUUCACUUUUUUUUUAAUGUGAGGAUCUCUCAUCUAUAGGCCAUUAAUCAUGCUAUUUCUUCCAUCUGUUCAGAAUCUUCUUUUCUGAAACCCCCUUCUCAACCAUUCUUUUUCUGGCUGAGACCUACUCGUUUGUCAGUUCUCAGCUUAAAAAUUACACCCUCCCAACAACCAAAGGUAGGUCCAAAAUUAAAACACCAAACCACAGAUCUAAGAACCUGAGAGAACACCAACAGAGAACACCAAACAGCAUAAAUACCAAAACACAAACACAUCUAUACACAUCAUUCAAAAUGUUAAAAGCCAAGAGAUAUUAUUUUUUUAGAUGUUUAUUUAUUUUUGAGAGAGAGAGAGAGAGAGAGAGAGAGAGAGAGAGCAAGCAGGGGAGGAGCAGAGAGAGGGAGACAGAAUCCCAAGGAGGAUCCAUGCUUUAGCACAGAGCCUGAUACAGGGCUCAAACCCACAAACUGUGAGAUCAUGACAUGAACUGAAACCAAGAGUUGAAUGCUUUACUGACUGACCUACUCAGGCACCUCAAGCCAAGAGAUAUUCUUGAAGGCCCCUGAGAAAAAAAAGACACGUUGCACUUAGAUAACAGUUAUGGCAGGCUUCUCAUCACAAACUAUACAAGCCAGAAGACAAUGGAGUAGCAUUCUUACAUUUCUGAAAGAAGAAAAUGUCAACCCAGAAUUCCAUACCCAGCAAAAAUAUCUUUUGAAGAUUAGGAAGAAAUAAAAAAAUCUCAUUGGACAAAUAAAAACUGAACUAAUUUACUUUUAGCAGACUUAGAAGUACAAUAAAUGUUAAAGGAAUUUCCUCAAGAAAAUAAAAAUGAUACCAGACAGACUCUUGGAUCUACACAAAGAAAUGAAGAGCACUGGAAAUGGAAUAAAUGAAGAUAAAUUUAAAUGCAUUAUUUCUUCAAAUAUUUUUCUGCCAUGUUUUCUUCUUCUGGGAUCCCAAAUAUAUGCAUAUUAGACUCUUCAAUAUUGUCCCACAGUUCUUGGGUGCCUUUUUUUUUUUUUUUGGGCUCUUUUUUCCUUUGGGUUUUCCUUUGGGUAAUUUCUAUUGACCUAUCUUUAAACUUACUUAUUAAUUCCCUUAUUCAUUUCAAGUCUAUGAUGUGCCCAUUGGAAACAUUCUUUAUCUCUGUGACUAUGGUUUUCAUUUCUAGCAUUUUCAUUUGAUUCUUUUUUACAGUUUCUCUCUCUUAGUGGAAGUUACCCAUCUCAUCAUGUAUGUUUUUCAUUUUUUCCACUAGAGCCUUUUACCAUAAUAAUCAUAAGUAUUUAAAAAUUCCCUGUUUGGUGGUUCUGACAUGUGUGUCACAUCUGAGUCUGGUUCUAUGGAUUGCUUUGCCUCUUGACAAUGUUUUUGUUGUUCUUGUUUCCUUGCAUACCUUGUAAUUUUUUGAUGAAAGCCAGACAUCUUGUCUAGGGUAUUAGAGACUGAGUUAAAUAGUUGUUACCCCUGGAAAUGGACAUUUUUUCCUAUUCUUAGCAUUUAGUGUGGAGGGUUGAAUCAGCCUAAUUAAGAGUUGGAAACCAGUUUGGGAUUUGUCGUUGCUAUGGUUACUUUCAUUAUAACACAGUUUUAAACUCCUUUGGUGUUGGGCGCCUGGAUGGCUCAGCCGGUUAAGUGUCUGACCAGUUUAGGUCAUGAUCUUGUGGUCCAUGAGUUCGAGUCCUGUGCCAGGCUCUGUGCUGACAGCUCAGAGUCAGGAGCCUGCUUCAGAUUCUGUGUCUCCCUAUGUCUCUGCCUCUCUCUCUGUCUCAAAAAUAAAUAAAAACAUUAAAAAUUUUUAAAUUUCUCUGGUGUUUAGGGUGGUGGCUGGUUUGUUGGAAGGUUUUCUCCCCACGGUGUCUGCUCUACCUUUGGGUGUAGAUCUUCCUUUUGCCCUGUGCUUCCAUGGGGGUUUCUCACCACGAUUUUGCACCUCUUUCAGCAGUAGAGUACUAUCAGUAGUUACUAGAUGCUUAUUAGCCUGGUGGGGGGUGGGGAGCAUUCUCUGAUGUUCUGAUUAAGUCUCCAUUGUAGCCAGGCCUUGUGUCUCUACAUCUUGGAGGUGGUGCUUUCUUAGUGGUUUUCCUUUACCUUUAACUAUAGGUCUGGGUCCAGAACAUAUUCCUGCUCCUUCCCAAGACUAUAGAGCUGCUCCCCUGCCUUUCCCCAGCUACAAUAGCUUUUCACCAGUGUCCUAGGAUUGACAGGGUUUGUUGCCCUUCUGCCAAUAUUUCCAAGCUAGAUUUGAUAGGAGAUAAGAAUCUAAGUGGAAUUUCAGACAUUUCCCACAGUGUCUGCUACUUCUUUCUCCCAGGCCUGCAGCGCAUAGGAUGCUGCCUGAAGACUCGUGUCCUAUUCUCCAUCUUUUUUGUGUAUCCUUAAUGAGGUCUGUGGAGGAAAACCUGUUAGAGGGUGUGAAUUUGCCUUUGUCUGUGUCCCAAGGGGUUCUAUAGCCUCUUGCUGGUCUAAGCUCAGCCUUUAGCAAUUUGUUGAAAUUUUUGUUGAUUUUUAUUCUUUGUUUAUAUAUUUAUUUUUGAGAGAGAGAGAGAGAGAGAGAGAGCGCACACAUGAACUGGAGAGGGACAGAGAGAGAGGGAGUGAGAGAAUUCCAAGCAGGCUCCAUGUUCUCAGUGCAGAGCCUGACAUGGGGCUCAAUCACAUGAACCACGAAAUCAUGACCUGACCUAAAAUCAAGAGUCUGAUGCUUAACAGACUAACCCACACAGGUGUGCCAAUUUGUUGAAAUUUUUAGCUGAAUUAGUCUUAUCUGGGUCCAGCGGCACUGGCCCCAGAUAAUCAAGUGCUUAUAUUUGUCUCUCUCUGGAGGUUCCUGUAGUUUCCUUGGGUUUGGGGUUAGCUGACUGUCUUUCAGUCCCAGAUCUCUGAUGGGUCAAGAAAGGUGAAUUUGCAGAUUAUUCAGCUUUUCUUUUUCUUGAUGUAAUGGUAGGAGUGAUGUUCUUUCCAGUUUUCUACAUCCUAAGUGGGAAGCUAACACAUAAUUCUU
Long non-coding RNA from Acinonyx jubatus (cheetah), 6364 nucleotides. RefSeq lists it as uncharacterized. Lineage: Eukaryota; Metazoa; Chordata; Mammalia; Carnivora; Felidae. The record is from RefSeq and is a predicted model, not a curated record. The transcript has 7 exons.